Molecule: long non-coding RNA, 1277 nt
Organism: Nymphaea colorata (pocket water lily)
Lineage: Eukaryota; Viridiplantae; Streptophyta; Magnoliopsida; Nymphaeales; Nymphaeaceae
Exons: 2
Source: RefSeq, a predicted model, not a curated record
GGGAAUUGUUGAGAAAUGGUGAAAUACAGGUCAUGAACCAGGAUAAGCAUCAACAGACAUUAGAAGAAUCCCUUGCUUGUUUAUAGGAACGACGAGGAAAGUUUCUGCAAUUGAGAAGUUUGAUAACUCAAGAAAGGCCUCCAAGUUUUAGAGUGCCGAAGAAGACCAACAGCUCAGAAAGAAUAUUCUACGAGAGCUAAAGCUGGAAGAUUUGAUUAUGGGGCUAUCCUGUCUCAGGUAAUUGAUCGCAUUCUCAACUUGCAAUGUUUCUGAAUAUCCUAUUUUGAAUGUCAGAUAUACAUGGUUAAUUUCCAACCUUGUAACGGGUUUGGCAAGAUUCCUAUGCGUAGGCUCUUGAUGCACACUGAGAAAAUGGAUCUGCCUGAGGCAAGAGUACUCCGACUAAAUGUAGCAUCUUUUCCAGUUAAAUAAUGAGUUACCAAUUUGCUUAUUCAUAACUUCCUCAAUGAUGAGUUUUUUUGUCUCUUUGGGUGAAAUUGUCUUAUGAUGGUGUUAAAGUGUGUUAAUGCUUUUGCAUGGGACGGUAGCAUCUGUAAUCCACCUCCUAUGCAAUUUUUUAAAGCGAAGAAAAAUCCUUCGCGUUAUGGAGGCAAUUCAAGGUUUGAGUUCCAAACAUUUCAUACCUGCACUUUGACUCUAACAAACUUCUGCUGCAAGUGAAUCCCCCAGCUGGUCGAUGAUUGGUAAUUUUAACUUCAUUUAUAUCAGCAACAGAAGCUGGUGUUUCAUCUUUUCUGGAUCCUAUUUCCUGACUUGCGGUGGAGAAUUUGUUCAGCAGGUUGGAUGAAUUUCGUGAUCAACAAUUCAGUUCAUUGAUCUAAUAAAAGCCUUUGCAGUGUCAAUAUGAAAGACAGACUGUUUUGGUGCUUCAUGAAUGAGCAGCAGUUGCAGGUCAUAUUUAGGAGUAGCCUUAAUUCUACCUGAAAUCCUUGCGAGUUUAGACCAUUGUAUGCUCAUUAUUGAGGGGUCCAGCUCUCAGGCUUCCUGCACAAAAUCUUGUUUAGCUCUUGAAAAUCUCAGGCAGGCCCUUGGGGAUGCUGAAGGCUGCGAGAUCCUUUAUCAGUUUCCACUUCAACAUUAUAAUGGAAAGAUUCUCUUGAAAGAAAUGGCGGGACUUGAGGACGAGUUAUCACAAAUCUUAGCCGAGUGCUUGCAUGAAGGUUAACAGGAACAAGUAUAUUACAUUUCAUCCAAGAACACCUUUGUGCUUCACAAUUUGGGUUGAACUAUAAAAUGUUUCACUCUAACCUCUUUCA